This 433-nucleotide ribosomal RNA is filed under the name uncultured bacterium. Its description in RNAcentral is "bacterial SSU rRNA". It matches the Rfam family "Bacterial small subunit ribosomal RNA", at positions 29 to 507 of the family's 1533-position model. The record is from RNAcentral.
AACGAACGCUGGCGGCAUGCCUAACGCAUGCAAGUCGAACGAAGGCUUCGGCCUUAGUGGCGCACGGGUGCGUAACGCGUGGGAACCUGCCCCUCGGUUCGGAAUAACAGUUAGAAAUGACUGCUAAUACCGGAUGAUGACUUCGGUCCAAAGAUUUAUCGCCGAGGGGUGGGCCCGCGUAGGAUUAGCUAGUUGGUGGGGUAAAGGCCUACCAAGGCGACGAUCCUUAGCUGGUCUGAGAGGAUGAUCAGCCACACUGGGACUGAGACACGGCCCAGACUCCUACGGGAGGCAGCAGUGGGGAAUAUUGGACAAUGGGCGAAAGCCUGAUCCAGCAAUGCCGCGUGAGUGAUGAAGGCCUUAGGGUUGUAAAGCUCUUUUACCAGGGAUGAUAAUGACAGUACCUGGAGAAUAAGCUCCGGCUAACUCCGUG